Molecule: ribosomal RNA, 465 nt
Filed under: uncultured bacterium
Lineage: Bacteria
Description: partial 16S ribosomal RNA
Rfam family: Bacterial small subunit ribosomal RNA
Source: RNAcentral
CCUACGGGGGGCAGCAGUAGGGAAUCUUGCACAAUGGGCGAAAGCCUGAUGCAGCAACGCCGCGUGGGUGAAGAAGGUCUUCGGAUUGUAAAACCCUGUUGUUAGAGAAGAAAGUGCGUGAGAGUAACUGUUCACGUUUCGACGGUAUCUAACCAGAACGCCACGGCUAACUACGUCCAACCAGCCGCGGUAAUACGUAGGUGUCAAGCGUUUUCCGGAUUUAUUGGGCGUAAAGGGAACGCAGGCGGUCUUUUAAGUCUGAUGUGAAAGCCUUCGGCUUAACCGGAGAAGUGCAUUGGAAACUGGGAGACUUGAGUGCAGAAGAGGAGAGUGGAACUCCAUGUGUAGCGGUGAAAUGCGUAGAUAUAUGGAAGAACACCAGUGGCGAAAGCGGCUCUCUGGUCUGUAACUGACGCUGAGGUUCGAAAGCGUGGGUAGCAAACAGGAUUAGAUACCCUGGUAGUC